GAAAUAUCUCAUCCACUCUCGCUUCAUUUUUUCGGAUGGGAGAGAGUAGAAGAAAUGGAUAAUGGACAGAUCUUCCUCUUUCCCUCAUUCCCUAUUCGGAUAUGUAGGAGGAAGAGGAGGACAAGAGACGUGCUUGAAGGGCGAAAUGCAAGUGCCGUUUUAUAGCGGGAUGGAGUCUUGUUAAGACUCCUUGCAAACUCCGGCGAACCAUGCGAAAUAAGAAAAAGCAAACAUUAGAAAAAGGAUAUUUAACUUAAACGAACAUAAAAGAAAGAAAGAAAAAAAAAGAACAGAUUACUAUAAAAAAUAUACAUAGGGUCAUGCUAGAUCAAAGUUCAUGCCUCAUUUUUCACAUAGACACAUAGACAUACAGAAAUAUAAUUCAUGCUUCAAGCUGUUUGGAUAAAAUGAUAUUGUUUGGGAAUAAAGUCUUUUAUCUUUUCAUUUAAACUUCUAAAUAAGUAACAACUUUACACCAAACCGAGCAUAAAACACAAUAUCGAACAAAAUACUUCGGCAGUGCACAUUUAAAUAAAACAGUAUUAGAGGAGAAGCAAGAAUGCAAAGUUCUCAAAUGAAUCGACAGAACAUUCAAUAAAACAAACUAUACAAUGUUCUUAAACAAACUGUUCUUACUGUAAAAUUUUAGACACUUUUCCUUAACAUAAGUACUCAAGAUGACUUUCCAAAUCAUAGCUACACAUGUAUAUAAUUAAAAAAUGAUAAGUCAUAGAUUUUUCUAAACCAUGAUUUCUAUUUAAACGAAACAUAUCACAUUAGCAGCAUGAGCAAAGAUAUAUAACACAUUUGAGUUUAAAGAGGACAGGAAAUAAGAAUUAUAGAUUGUUUACAACCCAGAGCUCACAACAUAAGAGGAAGCUAACAACAUGAACAAAACGAAGGUCCUAAAAACAUGGUUUCUAAUGAUAAAAAUAAAUAAAUUUUGGGUCAGUUUUUCACCUGUUUCGGAGCAGCAAACUAGAGUCCUUGAUCAAAGAUCUACACUGGAACUCGAACUAAUUCACACUCGUCCACGCGCAAGACUCCGAAGACAACGAAACAAUAAGAAGCUGGAUAUUUUCGAGAGUAACAGAGAUGUUUUGCAGCAGUUUGGUUAUAUAAUAUUUGACUAAAAAUUAUCUCCCCAAAAAACCCCCCCCAAAACGGAUGCCUAAGGCUCGCAUUUAUAGAGUAAAAACUACGGUUCCGAGGGUUCUUUAGGCGGGAAGAUUUAUUUCAAAAUCGAGUCACAAAACUCCUUCGAACUUCGAGCAUCAUACCAUGGCAGAAAACUUUUCAGAAGCGAUUUAUUUCUUAUGACCAAAAUAGUGAGUCUUGACUGAAGCGUAAGGAUCUGAUGUAUUUUUGAACAUAGAAGUAGACGAUCUUCUGCCACACGCCAUGGGAAGAAGGAAACUUGCUGGAAAAUGGUCAAGCCAAAUCUGAAAUUUCGAGGAGUGGAGCUCAAGCUUUGUCAAAAAUGGAGAUGAAGCCAAAAGAGAGUUCCCUUUCUAAAGAAAGAGAGGGAGGCGUCUGAUGACACCAAAGGAAAAACAAUAGAUUGUUUUUUGGGAAAUCCAAGGGUAUUUAGGUCACUUUAGGUGGAUUAAAGGAGGGUAGAAUAGGUAGUUUAGGAUAUUUGGGAUUCUAGGGCUUUAAUUUUGAAUUGGCUGAC
RNAcentral lists this long non-coding RNA (1675 nucleotides) under Solanum tuberosum (potato). RNAcentral's name for it is "long non-coding RNA (STUB_LNC010012)". The record is from RNAcentral. Lineage: Eukaryota; Viridiplantae; Streptophyta; Magnoliopsida; Solanales; Solanaceae.